This 1415-nucleotide ribosomal RNA is filed under the name Mammaliicoccus sciuri. Its description in RNAcentral is "bacterial SSU rRNA". It matches the Rfam family "Bacterial small subunit ribosomal RNA". The record is from RNAcentral. Lineage: Bacteria; Bacillati; Bacillota; Bacilli; Caryophanales; Staphylococcaceae.
UGCAGUCGAGCGAACAGAUGAGAAGCUUGCUUCUCUGAUGUUAGCGGCGGACGGGUGAGUAACACGUGGGUAACCUACCUAUAAGACUGGGAUAACUCCGGGAAACCGGGGCUAAUACCGGAUAAUAUUUUGAACCGCAUGGUUCAAUAGUGAAAGACGGUUUCGGCUGUCACUUAUAGAUGGACCCGCGCCGUAUUAGCUAGUUGGUAAGGUAAUGGCUUACCAAGGCGACGAUACGUAGCCGACCUGAGAGGGUGAUCGGCCACACUGGAACUGAGACACGGUCCAGACUCCUACGGGAGGCAGCAGUAGGGAAUCUUCCGCAAUGGGCGAAAGCCUGACGGAGCAACGCCGCGUGAGUGAUGAAGGUCUUCGGAUCGUAAAACUCUGUUGUUAGGGAAGAACAAAUUUGUUAGUAACUGAACAAGUCUUGACGGUACCUAACCAGAAAGCCACGGCUAACUACGUGCCAGCAGCCGCGGUAAUACGUAGGUGGCAAGCGUUAUCCGGAAUUAUUGGGCGUAAAGCGCGCGUAGGCGGUUUCUUAAGUCUGAUGUGAAAGCCCACGGCUCAACCGUGGAGGGUCAUUGGAAACUGGGAAACUUGAGUGCAGAAGAGGAGAGUGGAAUUCCAUGUGUAGCGGUGAAAUGCGCAGAGAUAUGGAGGAACACCAGUGGCGAAGGCGGCUCUCUGGUCUGUAACUGACGCUGAUGUGCGAAAGCGUGGGGAUCAAACAGGAUUAGAUACCCUGGUAGUCCACGCCGUAAACGAUGAGUGCUAAGUGUUAGGGGGUUUCCGCCCCUUAGUGCUGCAGCUAACGCAUUAAGCACUCCGCCUGGGGAGUACGACCGCAAGGUUGAAACUCAAAGGAAUUGACGGGGACCCGCACAAGCGGUGGAGCAUGUGGUUUAAUUCGAAGCAACGCGAAGAACCUUACCAAAUCUUGACAUCCUUUGACCGCUCUAGAGAUAGAGUCUUCCCCUUCGGGGGACAAAGUGACAGGUGGUGCAUGGUUGUCGUCAGCUCGUGUCGUGAGAUGUUGGGUUAAGUCCCGCAACGAGCGCAACCCUUAAGCUUAGUUGCCAUCAUUAAGUUGGGCACUCUAGGUUGACUGCCGGUGACAAACCGGAGGAAGGUGGGAUGACGUCAAAUCAUCAUGCCCCUUAUGAUUUGGGCUACACACGUGCUACAAUGGAUAAUACAAAGGGCAGCGAAUCCGCGAGGCCAAGCAAAUCCCAUAAAAUUAUUCUCAGUUCGGAUUGUAGUCUGCAACUCGACUACAUGAAGCUGGAAUCGCUAGUAAUCGUAGAUCAGCAUGCUACGGUGAAUACGUUCCCGGGUCUUGUACACACCGCCCGUCACACCACGAGAGUUUGUAACACCCGAAGCCGGUGGAGUAACCUUUUAGGAGCUAG